GGCCGGUUAGCUCAGCUGGUUAGAGCGUGGUGCUAAUAACGCCAAGGUCGCGGGUUCGAGCCCCGCACGGGCCA
This 74-nucleotide transfer RNA is filed under the name Ursus americanus (American black bear). It matches the Rfam family "tRNA". Rfam says of the family: Transfer RNA (tRNA) molecules are approximately 80 nucleotides in length. RNAcentral also lists the same sequence under 1 other name. Lineage: Eukaryota; Metazoa; Chordata; Mammalia; Carnivora; Ursidae. The record is from Rfam by way of RNAcentral.